RNAcentral lists this ribosomal RNA (479 nucleotides) under uncultured bacterium. RNAcentral's name for it is "bacterial SSU rRNA". It matches the Rfam family "Bacterial small subunit ribosomal RNA", at positions 28 to 507 of the family's 1533-position model. The record is from RNAcentral.
GACGAACGCUGGCGGCGCGCCUAACACAUGCAAGUCGAACGGAGAUUACAGGCGGAAGUUUUCGGAUGGAAGCUUGUAAACUUAGUGGCGGACGGGUGAGUAACACGUGAGCAACCUGCCUAUCAGAGGGGGAUAACGAUUGGAAACGAUCGCUAAUACCGCAUGACAUAGCGGAAUCGCAUGGUUCUGCUAUCAAAGAUUUUAUCGCUGAUAGAUGGGCUCGCGUCCGAUUAGAUAGUUGGUGGGGUAACGGCCUACCAAGUCGACGAUCGGUAGCCGGACUGAGAGGUCGAACGGCCACAUUGGGACUGAGACACGGCCCAGACUCCUACGGGAGGCAGCAGUGGGGGAUAUUGCACAAUGGGGGAAACCCUGAUGCAGCGACGCCGCGUGAGGGAAGACGGUCUUCGGAUUGUAAACUCCUGUUGUUGAGGAAGAUAAUGACGGUACUCAACAAGGAAGUGACGGCUAACUACGUG